RNAcentral lists this ribosomal RNA (1086 nucleotides) under Karlingia lutheri. Its description in RNAcentral is "eukaryotic LSU rRNA". It matches the Rfam family "Eukaryotic large subunit ribosomal RNA", at positions 77 to 970 of the family's 3401-position model. The record is from RNAcentral. Lineage: Eukaryota; Metazoa; Platyhelminthes; Dolichomicrostomida; Dolichomacrostomidae.
CCCCCAGUAACGGCGAGUGAAGAGGGAAGAGCCCAGCACCGAAUCCUGCAGCUUUGGUUGCUAGGAAAUGUGGUGUUUAGGACGCUUAUCCGCGUCGGUUCGGUUUGCUCCAAGUCCACCUGAUUGUGGCUUACCAGAGAGGGUGUAAGGCCCGUAAGAGCAAUGCCGUCCGAAGCCUAUUAAAAGUUGUCCUUGGAGUCGAGUUGUUUGGGAAUGCAGCUCAAAUCGGGUGGUAAACUCCAUCUAAGGCUAAAUACUGACACGAGUCCGAUAGCGGACAAGUACCGUGAGGGAAAGUUGAAAAGAACUUUGAAGAGAGAGUUCAAUAGUACGUGAAACCGCUUAGAGGCAAACGGAUGAAGCUGAAACUGACUCGGGGGAUUCAGCCAUACCUGUCGUCGCUGCCUGGUCUUCAGAUCUCAGGACUGGUGAUUGGGUGUAUUGCGACGGCGGUUUGGUGCACUUUCCCCGCGGUCUCCACCACGACCGACAGCGGCGGUGGUCUGCGGUUAGGAGAAGGUAGCUCGGCUCCUCUGGAGUUGAGUGUUAUAGCUCCCGACGUCGGACUAUCCCUUGUGUCGGAUAAGGCGAUGCCCGCCCUUUGGGCUCGCACGGCUGGUCUGUUGUGGUCCGCGCUAGUUGCACUGCUUGCAGUUCUGUUGGCGUCGCGGCUGCUCCCGGGCUGGUCCUCUGCGAGUAGGCAUCAAUAGUCUGUGGUGUUUUGGUAGGUCUUUCAUCCGACCCGUCUUGAAACACGGACCAAGGAGUCUAACAUGUGCGCGAGUCAUGGGGUUCUACGAAACCCAAAGGCGAAGUGAAGGUAAAGGCUACCUUUUGGUGGCUGAGGUGGGAUCCGGCUUUUUGGUCGGCGCACCACCGGCUCGUUCCAUUUGUUUUCAAAGGAGCGACGCAAGAGCGUACACGCUGGGACCCGAAAGAUGGUGAACUAUGCUUGCGCAGGUCGAAGCCAGAGGAAACUCUGGUGGAGGACCGCAGCGUUUCUGACGUGCAAAUCGAUCGUCAAACGUGAGUAUAGGGGCGAAAGACUAAUCGAACCAUCUAGUAGCUGGUUCCCUCCGAAGUUUC